This is a long non-coding RNA of Rosa chinensis, 903 nucleotides long. RefSeq lists it as uncharacterized. NCBI's taxonomy places the organism in Eukaryota, Viridiplantae, Streptophyta, Magnoliopsida, Rosales, Rosaceae. The record is from RefSeq and is a predicted model, not a curated record. The transcript has 3 exons.
AACACCAACAGCAACGCCCAAACAAGGAAUUUGAUGAAGACAAUGGAGCAUAGCGAAAGGGAAACACUUGAAUUGAAAAAAUAAGGCCAAGAAGCCUCAGAAACAGGGCAUCGCCUGAGCAAAAGCGCGAAGGGAGGAGCUUCUCUCCACCGGCUCUCACGAGAGGAGAGAGGAAACCCAGAGCGAGAGGAAGGGGAAUAACGGAGCCCCCUGUUUCAUUAUAGCCUUUGUAGAAACGAUAUCAAGAUUCAAUAGUGUCAAGGUCGCCGUCCAAGGCAUAGCCGUUACAGAAACCAUACCAAUAUCGAUGGUGUAAGGGUUGAGGAGAUGCUGUAAGAUCUCCGGUUAGAUUUCCCCUCAUCUUGGGCGAUCAUCACCAAGGCAACAGCUGAUAGCACGCUUUAGUGACUUCACACACGAGCUUGGCUGGGAUACUGAGCCUCUUUUCCCCCUCCCAAAUGAAGAUGCUACAAAAAUAGAGUUAAUAUGGAGAUCAAUGAAGCAGGUCUACGCUACACUGACCAUCGGUACCACAACUCGUUACCAUCAGACGAAGAAGUAUCUGAUGAUGAUUGCUUGUUACGAAUUGGGGAAGAUAAGGAAGGGUUAUUUUGUGAUGGAGGAGAGAAAGGGCUUGGUCAAACAUCUGAAAUUGGUAAUGAUAAAUGUUAUAUGAUGGAUAUGGAGACGUUAGAAGGAACGAAUGUAGGUGAGUGUGUACACUUAAUGUGCAUUAAUAGUUUAAUACCUGUGUGUGCAACUCCUCGAACUUUAAUUAGACAGAACUCAUGCUCUUCUUGAAGAAGAUAAUUAAGCUACCUAUUAGAACAGAAAUGAAAAUUUCAGGUCAAAGAAGUCGAUCUAACCAAGCUCAUGUACAGCUUGACUGUCAUAUAAUUACAC